CCUACGGGCGGCAGCAGUGAGGAAUAUUGGUCAAUGGCCGGAAGGCUGAACCAGCCAAGCCGCGUGAAGGACGAAGGUGCCAAGCAUUGUAAACUUCUUUUGUCAAGGGACAAAAUCAGGCUCGAGAGCCUGACCGAGGGUACUUGAAGAAAAAGCAUCGGCUAACUCCGUGCCAGCAGCCGCGGUAAUACGUAGGAGGCGAGCGUUAUCCGGAAUGACUGGGCGUAAAGGGUGCGUAGGUGGUUUGGCAAGUUAGUAGCGUAACUCCAAGGCUCAACCUUGGAACUACUACUAAAACUGUUGGACUUGAGUGCAGGAGGGGCAACCGGAAUUCCUAGUGUAGCGGUGGAAUGCGUAGAUAUUAGGAGGAACACCAGUGGCGAAGGCGGGUUGCUAGACUGUAACUGACACUGAGGCACGAAAGCGUGGGGAGCAAACAGGAUUAGAUACCCCUGUAGUC
RNAcentral lists this ribosomal RNA (460 nucleotides) under uncultured bacterium. RNAcentral's name for it is "partial 16S ribosomal RNA". It matches the Rfam family "Bacterial small subunit ribosomal RNA", at positions 338 to 795 of the family's 1533-position model. The record is from RNAcentral.